ACGGGUGAGUAACGCGUGAGAAUCUGCCCUCAGGAGGGGGAUAGCGGCUGGAAACGGCCGCUAAUACCCCAUAUGCCGAGAGGUGAAAUGAAUUUCGCCUGAGGAUGAGCUCGCGUCUGAUUAGCUAGUUGGUAAGGUAAGAGCUUACCAAGGCAUCGAUCAGUAGCUGGUCUGAGAGGAUGAUCAGCCACACUGGGACUGAGACACGGCCCAGACUCCUACGGGAGGCAGCAGUGGGGAGUUUUCCGCAAUGGGCGAAAGCCUGACGGAGCAACGCCGCGUGAGGAAUGAAGGCCUCUGGGCUGUAAACCUCUUUUCUCAAGGAAGAAGACAUGACGGUACUUGAGGAAUAAGCCACGGCUAAUUCCGUGCCAGCAGCCGCGGUAAUACGGGAGUGGCAAGCGUUAUCCGGAAUUAUUGGGCGUAAAGCGUCCGCAGGCGGCCUUUUAAGUCUGUUGUUAAAGCGUGGAGCUCAACUCCAUUUCGGCAAUGGAAACUGGAAGGCUGGAGUGUGGUAGGGGCAGAGGGAAUUCCCGGUGUAGCGGUGAAAUGCGUAGAUAUCGGGAAGAACACCAGUGGCGAAGGCGCUCUGCUGGGCCAUAACUGACGCUCAUGGACGAAAGCCAGGGGAGCGAAAGGGAUUAGAUACCCCUGUAGUCCUGGCCGUAAACGAUGAACACUAGGUGUCGGGGGAAUCGACCCCCUCGGUGUCGUAGCCAACGCGUUAAGUGUUCCGCCUGGGGAGUACGCACGCAAGUGUGAAACUCAAAGGAAUUGACGGGGGCCCGCACAAGCGGUGGAGUAUGUGGUUUAAUUCGAUGCAACGCGAAGAACCUUACCAGGGUUUGACAUCCUGCGAAUCCCUUGGAAACUAGGGAGUGCCUUCGGGAGCGCAGAGACAGGUGGUGCAUGGCUGUCGUCAGCUCGUGUCGUGAGAUGUUGGGUUAAGUCCCGCAACGAGCGCAACCCACGUCUUUAGUUGCCAGCAUUUAGUUGGGCACUCUAGAGAGACCGCCGGUGAUAAACCGGAGGAAGGUGUGGAUGACGUCAAGUCAUCAUGCCCCUUACAUCCUGGGCUACACACGUACUACAAUGCUACGGACAAAGGGCAGCAAACUCGCGAGAGCUAGCAAAUCCCAUAAACCGUGGCUCAGUUCAGAUCGUAGGCUGCAACUCGCCUACGUGAAGGAGGAAUCGCUAGUAAUCGCUGGUCAGCAUACUGCGGUGAAUACGUUCCCGGGCCUUGUACACACCGCCCGUCACACCAUGGAAGUUGGCCACGCCCGAAGCC
This 1291-nucleotide ribosomal RNA is filed under the name uncultured bacterium. Its description in RNAcentral is "bacterial SSU rRNA". It matches the Rfam family "Bacterial small subunit ribosomal RNA", at positions 102 to 1428 of the family's 1533-position model. The record is from RNAcentral.